AGUUAGAUGAAAUGAAAUGUUCUCCUUGCUCUUCAAACUAAGAUAAGCUAAUAACUUUGGACACAAUUUCACUCCUCUGCAUUCACCAAAUGUCCAAUUACAUAUCCUCCCUGCCUGGACCUUCAAAACAAUAUAAAACUGAAUGAAGCCAAUGAAAGAAGUCACAGGAGGAUUUUUGCAGAGCUUCCAUCCAGUUCAGAAACAAAGCAAUUCAAUACAUGUCUUCAAGAUUUCUAAAGGCAAUGACUUAAUUCUAAGUUCCAUGAAAGCAGGCAUUGUGUGAAUUUCUCCUGCAUCUGGAACUGGCCUAGCACACCAAUAGAACCGUGGAGAAUUGCCAAGAUUGCUGACUAGAUGUGGCCAGGAGAAAUAUCUCCCACUGAGAGACUGGGACAUUGGAAAGACUAUAACACACCUCUGAGUAGAUCUUCUGAUGGAAGGCAUUAAGAGUGGAUGCAGAGAGGAUGCAGAUGCUGGGCUGAAGAGAGAGGAAGCUGGGAACCCUGCAUAGUGUGGCUGAGCCUCAGGACUUGUACCUGGCCUUCAGAGACUCCUGGGGGAAGGGUGAGUUUACAGGUGAGGAGUGGCCCGCUCUCACCAUGGACCCAUUUUGGUAGGUCCCUCAACCUCUAUGGGCAUCUGAGAUGGUAGGAAAAGCUGCUCAGAGAGGUCAUAUGGGCAGGACUCCAGCCUAUGCAGAGCCCAGAGUGGUGGGAGAACAGCUGCAGUGAAGCACAUCCAGGGACAUCCAUCCUCCAAGGCUCACUGUGCUUCUCCAGGAUACUUUAGCCUCAAUAUGACUGUUAGAGCUAGACAAAGCAGGGCAGUCCUGCUUGUGGGAUGCGGCCUGAUGCCUGAUCUGAUGCUCUGUUACCUGCUGGCCUCUCUUGGGGAGCCAGUCUGGUCGUGCUUGCUUGAAGUGCAGCCUUGGAUACCCAACAGGGGUGCUUCUAGGAACCCACAUCAUAGCUCCUUCAAUGGCAGACUUAGCUCCUUCAAUGGCAGACUGUGCCUGAUUAUCAGAGAACUCCAGCAGACCAGGCCCCACUUACAUGAACCAGCCCACGCACAGCUUCACCCCAUCACAGCCCUCCCGUAAUGCUUUACUGACAUGCAUUUGCUCAUGGCCAUCCUCCAUCGCUGUGCUUGUAUGAGUCCACCUUGUUGCUUCCCCCUGCCAUUAACAUGCAGGUUCACUCCUGUGCCAGCACUAAUGUGUGCACAGAUGCUGGCAACACUGUUCUCCCCCCAACCCCUGCCACCACCGCCACCAAUGCUGCCAGUGUGAAUGCAUACAUGGACACCAGCAACUCCAUCUCUGCUAGUGUACUGCCCUUGCUGUGCUGUCAUCACUGGCAUAAACAUGUGCAGGAACACCACCUCCCUGUUCCCACAGUUGCCCUGUGCAAGCCAACAUGUGUGCACCUUGCCACAUUGCUGUGGCUGCUGGUAUGCAUGAGCCAGCAUGGAUCCCACUGCCACUACUCCAGUGACAUGCUUUGACCAGCCCCCCUCCCCAUCAGAGUGUGGUGGCCAGUGGACAAGAACACCUCAGUCUCUCCAGUGCAGCAGCUUCCUAACCUUGAGGGGCCAGAGAACAAGGCUGGGGGCCCAGUACCAGCCUCCCAGAGUUAAAACAUGCAGCCCAGCAGUGUAGAGCUGAGCCUUGGCUUUCUAAAAUCUUCCAGAAAUGAAGCCAGUUGACUGAACCCAUCAUAUGCCACAAUCUAACUCCCAGGGCAUCAAAGAAGAUAAAAGCCAAAAUCCCUAUCCAAAGGACAGUAAUAUCAAAGAUGAGAAAGAACCAGUGCAAAAAACUCUGGCAAUUCAAAAAGCCAGAGUGUCUUUUUACCUCCAAACGAUCACUCCAUUUCCUCAGUGGUGGUUCUUAACUAGGCUGAAAAGACAGAAGUGACAGAUAUAGACUUCAGAAUAUGGAUAGGAAAGAUGAUCAAGAUUUGGGAGAAGAUUGAAACCCAAUCCUAGGAAACUAAGGAAUACAAUAAUGCAAUACAGGAGCUGAAAGAUGAAAUGGCCAUUUUAAGAAAGAACCAAACUGAUGUGAUAGAGUGACAGCGCUGAAAAACUCACUUUGAGAAUUUCACAAUACAAUUGCAAGUAUUAACAGCAGAGUAGACCAUGCUGACGAAGGACUCUCAGAUCUUGAAGACCAGUUCUCCAAAGUUAACUUGGUCAGACAAAAAUAAAGAAAAAAGGAUAUAAAAAGAAUAAACAAAACCUCCAAGAAACAUGAGAUUAUGUAAAGAGAUCAAAUUUCUGAUGCAUUGGCAUCCUUGAAAAUGAGGGAGAGAAAGCACGCAACUUGGAAAACAUAUUUCAAGAUAUUGUCAAUGAAAAAUUCCCCAACCUCGCUAGAGAGUCCAAUAUUCAAAUCCAGGAAAUGAAGAGAACGCCUGCAAGAUAUUAUACAAGAUGAUCAUUCCCAAGACAGAGUCACCUGAUUCUCUGAGGUUGAAAUGAAAGAAAAAAUGUUAAAGGCAGCUAAAGAGAAGGGACAGGUUGCUUACAAAGGCAACCCCAUCAAGCUAACAGCAGACCUUUCAGCAGAAAUCCUACAAGCCAGAAAAGACUGGGGGCUUAGAUUCAGUAUUUUUAAAGAAAAUAAAAUCCAAAUAAGAAUUUCAUAUUCAGCCAAACUAAGCUUCAUAAGCAAAGGAGAAAUAAGAUCCUUUUCAGAUAAGCAAAUACUGAAAGAAUUACCAUCAGAUAUGCCUUACAUGAGGUUGUGAAGGGAGUACAAAACAUGGAAAGGAAAGAUCAUUAUCAGCAACCACAAAAACACACUUAAGUACAUAGACCAUUGAUACUAUAAAGCAACUACACAUCAAGUCUGUAUAAUACCAGCUAAAAACAUGAUGACAGGAUUAAAUCUGCACUAUCAAUAUUAACCUUAAAUGGCAAUGGGCUAAAUGCAUCAAUUAAAAGGCAUAGCAUCGCAAGCUGGAUAAAGAGCAAAAUUCAUUGGUGUGCUGUCUUCAAGAGAUCCAUCUCACAUGAAACAACGUGGAUAGGCUCAAAAUAAAGAGAUAGAGAAAAUCAACCAAGCAAAUGAGAAACACACAACCAUAAACAAAAAUGUAUUCAUGUCCUUUGUGGUGACAUGGUUGGUGCUGGAGGUCAUAAUCCUGAGCAAACUAAUCAGGACAGAAAACCAAAUACUGCAUGUUGUCACUUAUAAGUGGAAGCUAAACAUUGAAUACACAUGGACACAAAGAAGAAAAUAACAGACCCUGAGGCCUACUUGAGGGUGGAGAAUGGGAGGAGAGUGAGGAUUGAAAAACUAUCUAUUGGGCACUAUGCUUAUUACCUUGGUGAAAAAAUAAUCUGUGCAGCAAAUCCCUGUAACAUGCAAUUUACCUAUAAUAAGCCUGUGCAUGUACCUCUGAACCUAAAAUGAAAGUUACAAAAAGAAAAAAAAAGAAACUAUACAAAAUAUAUUUGUAGGAAAAAUGAGUAAAGUGAAUUCAGUGUUAAACUCUUUGAUGAUUAUUAUUAAAAUUAUGUAAAUCUAUGUAAUUUAAGUAGACAUUUUGCCAAAUGUGGUUUCAGUGAAGACUUUUAAUAUCAUGGUAUUUUUGUUUUCAUCUUACGGGAUCUUUUUGAGUAAUAAAAAUAAUAUUUUCAAACAACUACAAAAAUAUAUUAGUAAACAUUAUAGGAUCUAAACAACACUAUUUGCUAUCUUGAUCUAGUUGGCAUUUGUAGAACAAGAAUCCAACAACUCCAGAAUAUACUUUUCCACCCUAAAUACACAUAGUACAUUCACCAAAAUAGACCAGGAACUUCAGUCAGGAAUGAGAUAGAUGUCAUGACUUGAUGUUUAAGAAGAAUCUAUUACCACCAAAGCAAUCACUUUGCAAAUUGAUAAAACCUAUAUUUACAUUUUGAAAUAUUUCCUAAUUUAUUAAAUUGUUGUAAGAAAAGUGAAUUAAAUAUACUUAAAGUGCCACAGCAAGACCUGUAAUCAUAGCUGCCUUUUUUUUUUUAAUUUUCACAUACAACCUCAUUGUUUAAUUAGCAAAAAUAUCAAAUUCUAAAUUUGGAAAACAAUAUAGAAUCCAUUUUAGGAGCAUUUUGAAAUGGCACUGUGUCUGUGAUCAUAUGGAAGCUUAUGUACUUGACAUCUGAGAAACACAUAAUUCUAUUUCAAACUUUCUCCUGUUCUCAGCACUUUUAGCCUUGAAUGAUAUGCUCUUGGCAAUUUUUAUUUUGUGAUCACAAAACUUACUGCUUUAACUUCAUGUUUCAAAGUAUGAUUUGGAGGGAAAAUUAACCCUGUUCAAAACUAAUCCUUUCCACAGUCACUGCCACUAUCCCUUUAACAUUUCCUGAAGGUCAUUGUUGAGAUUUCAUUAUCAUGUUGCUGAUUUUUCUGCCCUUUUUUUUUCUUUUUUUCCACUAUCAGGGGAAGAGAACAUUCUGCAAAAGGUUUGCUGGUCUCCCUGUUCCCUUACAGUCCCAAAAGAAGAAAACUGAUUCCUUAAGCUUCAGAAUCUCUAGGCUAGCUCCAGAUUCUUAUUUAGAUACAAACACUCAUGGCUUUCAGAGACCCAAAGAAUCUUAGAAGGAAAGCACUGAGGGAUUACAAAAUAUUUUUGAAGGCUACAGUCUCUAUUUUGAAAAUAAGAAUGAAAAAGGUAUCAUCACCACCUCUGAAAACUGUACCCGCCCCCCAAUCAAUGUGCAGUGUUUUAGUACAUCCAGUUUCUCAUGGGGACAAAACCCAUAUGCAUAUUAAAACAGAGGCUCAAAUUCAGUGUCAAAAGCCUUAAAUGAUUAGCCCAAGUAUUAAGAAAUGCAUAAAAGAAGGCCCUGACAUUUAUUAGGCACAAAAAAUGCUUUCCCUUACACUUAUAGUUUGGCAAGAUGAUAUUAGAAACUUUGUUUUAAAUAUAUAUUCAAUAGCCUUCUUUUUAAAAAGGAUAAACUAGGUCCAAAGAUGUGAAGCAGCUUGCCCAAAUAUACACAAAAAAUCAAUCUGACCAGUUUUUGUUACACCCAUAGUCAUCAGUUGCAGACUUCUCAAAUAUUUUUGGACCAAUUUUGUUUGGGUUUACUUUCCUAAAAAUCUUCACCUUGUUGUUGAUCUUUAAAAGUUUGCAGUUGUUGUUCUUAUUAAAAUCACUUAAACCUUAGCCUAGGGAUCUGUAUUCUCCCGGAGAACUAUGACAACAGAGGCAGGAUUUGACUUAAAGCAAUUAAAGCAGGCCAGAGCUGCAUCCCUUCAGUAGGUAAAUGUUGAUAACUUCAAUGUAAGGCAGCAAUGUGGACACUGCUUGUUUCAGCCACUCAGAGGCUUUCAGCUUAAUCCACAGCAGUGAGCAAAAGGAUUGCUCCAUUUAAUUGGUUCUGUAGACUGCAUUAUUUAAGGAAUAGCAAAUAUUGUUUGGAGUCUGUGUGAAGGGAAACAGAAAAACAACUGCUGCAAAAUGGGAAUACAACAAUUUCUUAUCGACUUCUCUGAAAUAUUGAGAGAUUAAUGAGUCUGGGCCCAUAACAUAGUUAUAUUCCUAAGAAAAGUUGAUAUAUAUGCCAAAACCUUUUCCAGUUUAGUUUACUGCUGUUACUACUGGAAACAGCAUAAGACUUAAAGCCAAAGCUCUAACCCUGAGUCCUGGUUCUGCCUAUAAUUACUUAUGAGACUUUGGGAAAGUUAUUUCACCUCUGUAGGUUUUUCUUUCUACAUCUUUGAAGUGAAUAUUGUUAUACUGACCUCACAGGGUAA
This is a long non-coding RNA of Pan troglodytes (chimpanzee), 5746 nucleotides long. RefSeq lists it as uncharacterized. Lineage: Eukaryota; Metazoa; Chordata; Mammalia; Primates; Hominidae. The record is from RefSeq and is a predicted model, not a curated record. The transcript has 3 exons.